GACAGAGGGUGCAAACGUUGUUCGGAAUUACUGGGCGUAAAGCGCGUGUAGGCUGUUCCGCAAGUCGGAUGUGAAAGCCCUGGGCUCAACCUAGGAAGUGCACUCGAAACUGCGGAACUGGAGUCCUGGAGAGGAAGGCGGAAUUCUCGGUGUAGAGGUGAAAUUCGUAGAUAUCGAGAGGAACACCGGUGGCGAAGGCGGCCUUCUGGACAGUGACUGACGCUGAGACGCGAAAGCGUGGGGAGCGAACAGG
RNAcentral lists this ribosomal RNA (253 nucleotides) under uncultured bacterium. Its description in RNAcentral is "partial 16S ribosomal RNA". It matches the Rfam family "Bacterial small subunit ribosomal RNA", at positions 524 to 776 of the family's 1533-position model. The record is from RNAcentral.